GCCUACGGGGCGCAGCAGUGGGGAAUAUUGGGCAAUGGGCGCAAGCCUGACCCAGCAACGCCGCGUGAAGGAAGAAGGCUUUCGGGUUGUAAACUUCUUUUGUCAGGGACGAAGCAAGUGACGGUACCUGACGAAUAAGCCACGGCUAACUACGUGCCAGCAGCCGCGGUGAUACGUAGGUGGCAAGCGUUAUCCGGAUUUACUGGGUGUAAAGGGCGUGUAGGCGGGGAGGCAAGUCAGCGGUCAAAUUGCGGGGCUCAACCCCGUACUGCCGUUGAAACUGCAUCCCUUGAGUGCGCG
RNAcentral lists this ribosomal RNA (300 nucleotides) under uncultured bacterium. RNAcentral describes it as "bacterial SSU rRNA". It matches the Rfam family "Bacterial small subunit ribosomal RNA", at positions 337 to 652 of the family's 1533-position model. The record is from RNAcentral.